Molecule: transfer RNA, 77 nt
Filed under: Vreelandella vilamensis
Lineage: Bacteria; Pseudomonadati; Pseudomonadota; Gammaproteobacteria; Oceanospirillales; Halomonadaceae
Description: tRNA-Ile
Rfam family: tRNA
About the family: Transfer RNA (tRNA) molecules are approximately 80 nucleotides in length. Their secondary structure includes four short double-helical elements and three loops (D, anti-codon, and T loops).
Source: RNAcentral
GGGCCCAUAGCUCAGUUGGUUAGAGCAGGGGACUCAUAAUCCCUUGGUCGUGUGUUCGAGUCACACUGGGCCCACCA